UGGUAGUNCACGCCGUAAGCGAUGGGUGCUAGGUGUUAGGCCCUUUCCGGGGCUUAGUGCCGGAGCUAACGCAAUAAGCACUCCGCCUGGGGAGUACGACCGCAAGGUUGAAACUCAAAGGAAUUGACGGGGGCCCGCACAAGCGGUGGAGCAUGUGGUUUAAUUCGAAGCAACGCGAAGAACCUUACCAGGUCUUGACAUCCCGAUGCUAUUCUUAGAGAUAGGAAGUUACUUCGGUACAUCGGAGACAGGUGGUGCAUGGUUGUCGUCAGCUCGUGCCGUGAGAUGUUGGGUUAAGUCCCGCAACGAGCGCAACCCUUAUUGUUAGUUGCCAUCAUUAAGUUGGGCACUCUAGCGAGACUGCCGGUAAUAAACCGGAGGAAGGUGGGGAUGACGUCAAAUCAUCAUGCCCCUUAUGACCUGGGCUACACACGUGCUACAAUGGUCGGUACAACGAGUUGCGAGCCGGUGACGGCAAGCUAAUCUCUGAAAGCCGAUCUCAGUUCGGAUUGGAGGCUGCAACUCGCCUCCAUGAAGUCGGAAUCGCUAGUAAUCGCGGAUCAGCACGCCGCGGUGAAUACGUUCCCGGGCCUUGUACACACCG
This 604-nucleotide ribosomal RNA is filed under the name uncultured bacterium. RNAcentral describes it as "bacterial SSU rRNA". It matches the Rfam family "Bacterial small subunit ribosomal RNA", at positions 788 to 1392 of the family's 1533-position model. The record is from RNAcentral.